UAUUAAAAUUUUCAUCUAUUUGUACUGUUAAAAAUUAGUGCGAUUGACGAAAUAACCAGACACGCCAUGUAUACCUCACAUUGAUGUAUAAUGACAAAUUUUUAACAGUAAAAAUAGAUAAAAUUUUCAACA
Gossypium raimondii (Peruvian cotton) is the source of this 132-nucleotide non-coding RNA. The record is from Rfam. Lineage: Eukaryota; Viridiplantae; Streptophyta; Magnoliopsida; Malvales; Malvaceae.